Molecule: ribosomal RNA, 418 nt
Filed under: uncultured bacterium
Lineage: Bacteria
Description: bacterial SSU rRNA
Rfam family: Bacterial small subunit ribosomal RNA
Source: RNAcentral
UGGGGAAUCUUGCGCAAUGGCCGAAAGGCUGACGCAGCGACGCCGCGUGGAGGAUGACGCCCUUCGGGGUGUAAACUCCUGUUGCCCGGGACGAAUACCCGUUUCGACGGGGGUGACGGUACCGGGUGAGGAAGCACCGGCUAACUCUGUGCCAGCAGCCGCGGUAAUACAGAGGGUGCGAGCGUUGUCCGGAAUCACUGGGCGUAAAGGGCGCGUAGGCGGCUGGGUAAGCGUGUGGUGAAAGCCCGGGGCUCAACCCCGGGUCGGCCAUGCGAACUGUCCAGCUGGAGCACGGUAGAGGCACAUGGAAUUCCGGGUGUAGCGGUGGAAUGCGUAGAGAUCCGGAAGAACACCGGUGGCGAAGGCGGUGUGCUGGGCCGUGGCUGACGCUGAGGCGCGACAGCGUGGGGAGCAAACA